This 427-nucleotide ribosomal RNA is filed under the name uncultured Oscillospiraceae bacterium. RNAcentral's name for it is "bacterial SSU rRNA". It matches the Rfam family "Bacterial small subunit ribosomal RNA", at positions 354 to 796 of the family's 1533-position model. Lineage: Bacteria; Bacillati; Bacillota; Clostridia; Eubacteriales; Oscillospiraceae. The record is from RNAcentral.
GUGGGGAAUAUUGGGCAAUGGACGCAAGUCUGACCCAGCAACGCCGCGUGAAGGAAGAAGGCUUUCGGGUUGUAAACUUCUUUUAAGGGGGAAGAGCAGAAGACGGUACCCCUUGAAUAAGCCACGGCUAACUACGUGCCAGCAGCCGCGGUAAUACGUAGGUGGCAAGCGUUGUCCGGAUUUACUGGGUGUAAAGGGCGUGCAGCCGGAGAGACAAGUCAGAUGUGAAAUCCACGGGCUCAACCCGUGAACUGCAUUUGAAACUGUUUCCCUUGAGUGUCGGAGAGGUAAUCGGAAUUCCUUGUGUAGCGGUGAAAUGCGUAGAUAUAAGGAAGAACACCAGUGGCGAAGGCGGAUUACUGGACGAUAACUGACGGUGAGGCGCGAAAGCGUGGGGAGCAAACAGGAUUAGAAACCCCAGUAGUCC